RNAcentral lists this ribosomal RNA (492 nucleotides) under uncultured bacterium. Its description in RNAcentral is "partial 16S ribosomal RNA". It matches the Rfam family "Bacterial small subunit ribosomal RNA", at positions 29 to 507 of the family's 1533-position model. The record is from RNAcentral.
CGUGAACGCUGGCGGUAGGCCUAACACAUGCAAGUCGAACGGCAGCACAGUAAGAGCUUGCUCUUACGGGUGGCGAGUGGCGGACGGGUGAGGAAUACAUCGGAAUCUACUUUUUCGUGGGGGAUAACGUAGGGAAACUUACGCUAAUACCGCAUACGACCUACGGGUGAAAGCAGGGGAUCUUCGGACCUUGCGCGAUUGAAUGAGCCGAUGUCGGAUUAGCUAGUUGGCGGGGUAAAGGCCCACCAAGGCGACGAUCCGUAGCUGGUCUGAGAGGAUGAUCAGCCACACUGGAACUGAGACACGGUCCAGACUCCUACGGGAGGCAGCAGUGGGGAAUAUUGGACAAUGGGCGCAAGCCUGAUCCAGCCAUACCGCGUGGGUGAAGAAGGCAUUCGGGUUGUAAAGCCCUUUUGUUGGGAAAGAAAAGCAGCAGGUUAAUACCCCGCUGUUCUGACGGUACCCAAAGAAUAAGCACCGGCUAACUUCGUG